Molecule: long non-coding RNA, 4171 nt
Organism: Magnolia sinica
Lineage: Eukaryota; Viridiplantae; Streptophyta; Magnoliopsida; Magnoliales; Magnoliaceae
Exons: 2
Source: RefSeq, a predicted model, not a curated record
AUAAGGAGAAGGUGACAUGUAAUGUGGUAUACUGGUAUGUUUACCUUAUCAGUGUAGGUUAGUGAUGUUGGAUGGAGCAUGUGAGAUGAUGUGGUUAAAAAUUCUGCUUAGAGAAUAGGAUAUUGAGGUGCAACUUCCAUGAAGAUUUAUUGCAAUAAUAUGGCUGCGGUACUUUGCUAUUGUAGUCCAUUAUAUUAUGAAAGGGCCAAACACAUUGAAAUUGAUUAAUAUAAGGAGAAGGUGACAUGUAAUGUGGUAUGUACACCUUAUCAGUGGUUGAUGGAUCAACUGGCAGAUUUUCUUAUGCAAACUAGAAUGAGAAGAAGUGGGGAAUAAUAUGGCUGCGUUACAUUGCUAUUGUAGUUCAUUAUAUUAUGAAAGGGCCAAACGCAUUGAAAUUGAUUAAUAUAAGGAGAAGCUGACAUGUAAUGUGGUAACCUUAUCAGUGGUUGAUGGAUCAACUGGCAGAUUUUCUUAUGCAAACUAGAAUGAGAAGAAGUGGGGAACACAGGCAUAGGCCCAAGCUUCUAUCCAAGAGCAAACAUGUAUCCAAAGUAGCCCAAAACAGAGGCGAAACGGACCCGACAAUCUAACUAUGGUUUCAGGAAAACCUGUCCCAACUUGUUGGAGAAGAGGGGUUGUGCAUCAGGUUUUGAGGAUGAAACAAGGUUCACAUCAGCUGCUGAUGUCAUCAUGAGUUGGGCCUUUUGGCCUGAAUGUGUAUGCACAAGGCUCAAAUCAGCUGCUGAUGUUAGCAUGACUUCAGGCCUUUUGGCUUGAAUAAUGUGUAUGCACAGGGCUCACAUCAGCUACUGAUGUCGGCAUGCUUACAUCAGCUAUUGAUGUUGUCAUGACGUCAGAACUUUUGGUCUGAAUCCUUUGGGAAGUCCAAAGCAUGUGACUUGUAUAGCUUUACAUGGAAUUUUUUAGCGACUGCUGAGUUUUGCUAUUCCUUUAACUACAGGAUAUGGCACGUGCAAUGCACGUGGAGACAGGAAGGGAGAAAGAAAAAAGGCAUAGAGGAGGAGGAAAAGGUGUGGGCUACACUUACACACAUAGAGAGAAAGAGCAAAGAGUGCCCAUCCUCACUCUUUCCCGUGCUGUGGCCCACUCGAGUCUUCGAUCCACCUCGUCUUUGGGUUGACAUCCUAACAUGAGCCGAUGCAACAAAUGUAUGAAGCGGAUGUACAAUCAUCAUGGUGGGCCCACAUAGCCUUUGUUGCACGGGUUCUAAAGUAAUAUGCUUUAUGCGGGCUACACGCAAAGAGUAGAGAUGAGUGCAGGUUACUUGUAGGAAGAAAUUGAAAGGAAUGACAAAAAUGCCCUUAAAAAAUCAAAGCUUACAUGUGUUCGUAUACCAUUGCAGGGGUAAAAUUGUCCAAACAAUGGUCACGGGUAAAAUUUUAAGUUGUUUAAAGGCUUUUUGUGGGUAAAAUGUGAACCAUAUCUUGGACAACAACCACAUUUUCCAGUUCCCAAUAUACUUAUGACUUUUUUAAAUUGUCUUCCCAUGCCCUUUGAAUAUUCAAUGUUCUCCACCCUAUGGAAAUUAAUUGUGGGGGUAAAAUUGUCCCCCGCUAUUCGCGGUAUAUAUAGUAUAGAUUGUUUUUUGAAUGUUAGCCUUGUUGUUCUUCAAAAGUCUUUGAAUAAAUUUGGAUAGUGGAGAUUUUAUGAAAGCAAGAGCUGAGAUUUAAAGUAGAUUUUAGGUUUAUUUGGGACUAUUAGGGAACUUAUAUAGGACCACUCAAAAAAUAAAUUAGAAAACUUAGCUAGACCUGUUUUCAGGCAUAUGGUGGAAUGGCUAUUAUUUUCCUUUUUUUUUUUCUCACCCUUGUUUGACUUCGUUGAUGACUUGAAAAUGUUGAAAUAUAUUGGGUUUUGGGUUUUAACCUGGGUAUUUAAUUUAAGUUGUGAUCUUCUCUCCAUCAUGACACUGUUGCAUGUGGUGCUGGUAUGUACUUAUUGUUAUUGUUGCUGAGAUUCAUUCUAAGUGCUUAAAAUUGCAUUAUUGGUUGACAAGAUUCAUCCCAGGUGCUGAAAACUACAUCAGAGGAUAGGAUGGGUUGCUGGAAUUUUAGCUAGCGUUGCUGGGAAUUUAAGUAUAAUUGCUUGCAAUCUGUUUCAUGGGCUGGAAUUUCAAAUUUUUUGAUGGCACUCAUCUCCAGCUGCUGGACUUAUCCAUGGGUGUUGGAAAUUUCUCUCUUUGAUUCUUGUUGAAAAUUUUGAGAAAUAUUUGUAUUCAAGGAUAGAAAUUGUUCCAGCUCAAUUAGUUUGUGGUUCUAGUGCUGGUCAUUUCCUUCUUCGUACCUUAGCCUACCUUUAUGCACUGGCAAGCCUGCAAAGCAUCUGUUGGACAAGGUUAUUGAAAGAGUUGAAAGGAAAUUGUUGAGGUGAAAGCCGGCACCUCUCAUUGGGAGGAAGAUUGACGUUUAUCAAAGUAGCAUUAUCGGACUUUCUGUUUUACUUUAUUUCCCUUUUUAAGUGUCUAAAGGCUUUGUUGGACAGGUUGGAGAAUCUUAAGGUGUGACUUUUUGUGGCAAGGUGCAGAAAAGAAGCAAAAGUUUCAUCAGUUGAAGUGGGAUGAGGUGUGCAAGUCUUAUGAGGAGGGGGGAGCAGGUAUAAGGAAGUUGGAGGUUAUGAAUUUAGUAUUGCUAAGAAAAUGGUUAUGGAGAUUUGGUACGGGAAAGAUUCAUCCUUUUAUAAGGCUUUGGUGUUGGGGAAGGCGGUUAUCAGGAUGGGACCAAGUUCAAGGAGGGGUUGAUUCUAUUUAGGAGAUGAAAAGAGGAUUCACUUUUGGGAAGAUGUAUGGACGGGUAAUGGGAUGGUGUGGUCUCUAUGUCGGAGGAAUUUGUUGGAGGGGCAAGAUGAUGAGUUCAUUCAUCUAUUGGAGCAGCUUCAUAGUAUUUAUCCUUCUUCAUGAGUUAGGUGAGUUGGUGUGGAAUAAAGAGAAGUCCGGUAAGUUCUUGGUCAAUUCUUUCUACGUAUUGAUUCUCAGGUUAUCUUUCGGAGAACAUAGUGGGUAGUGGGUACAAUGGUUUCAUGUGGCACUAUGGGGCUCCCCCUAAGGUAGCAACUUUUGCGUGGCCGACAAGAAGAAUUGAGGUGCUCAUAGUUGAUAAUCUUUGGUGAUCACUAAUUUUUGCAUGUCGGUUGAUCAUGUCUUUAUUCACUGUCCCUUUGCUAGUGAGAUGUGAGAGAGGUUCUUGGAGACCUUUGAGGUGUUGUGGGUGACGCCAGGAGCCAUUGGGUCUCUUUUUGUGCUAGUAUGGGGGUGGAAUUGGGAAGAAAGGGAGCCUUAAAAAAAAAAAAGAAUUGGGAGGAGGAUGCUUUGGAGGCUAUCCCUAUUGGCAGGCAUUUGGGCAUUAUGCGGAGAGAUGAUGAGGACAUGGAUGACCAGAUGCUAAAGGAUUGGGCUAAUAUAUUUGUUGAGUAUUAGAAUGAAUUAGAUUGUGGAAAGGGGCACAAAUCCUUUCCAUGAUGGAAAAAUCGAUAGAUCCGUCAAUGAACCACAUAAAGUGGCACCAUUGGCAUUUAUGGUCCACAAGUGGGGUGUGUGAUCUAGGCCAUCAAUUUGGAGACCUUUGAUUAUUCAUUGGUUAUUUUUUUUUUUUUUAAUUUUUUCUUUUUCUUUGGGUGUGUUUGGAUUUUUGUGCUAGGGUUUGACAUAAACCAUGUGAGUGACGAAUCUCGUCUGUUGGCUAUUAGUAUUAGCUGAUUCUGCCAUUGUUUCUUUGUGUGAAGUUCCUAUUCUACAAUCAUUGCCGUGUAGUGGUAAGGGCUGUGGUGCACAGGGAUUGGAUAAGUAAAUCAUAGAUCCAAUAGAAGAGAGAUUUACCACAUUAGAGAGGCAAAUGUAGACCAUCUCCCAACUGCUCGCUACAAUAUUGGCAAGGAAUGAACCACAGACUCGGGAAGAUGAUGAUGAUGAGUCGUGUGGGAGUGAUAUUAACUCGUUCCAUCGUAAGGUUCUGUUUGUUGAGCCACAACGAGUCGAAAGGAGGGAUCAUUAUGAUCGAAGUCAAGGGUUGGAAGUGAAGGUGAAGUCCUAUGAAUAUCAUGGUAGUUCGCGUGAGGACGAUUUUCUGGAUUGGAUUGAAGCAAUGGAAAUGAUCUUUGAUUACAAAGAUGUGGAAGAAGCAAAAAAAAAAAAAAGAUAAAAAAAAGGAUAAAA